CCUGGAGAAAGGCGGAAGGAAUGCGGAUCUUUCUGAAGUGACAGCCUUUACAGCCUAUCAGAGGUAGCGUUAGGAAGGCGGGGCGGAAGACUGGAAGAAUGAAACAGAUUGAAGGAAUGUGUAGCCAAUAAAAGACUUGAUUCCGUCCCUACCCUAGGACCAGGGGAUCUGUCGGAGGAGGGAAAAGUUACUACGUCCAGGUGAUGUUAUGCUGCUUACCGUCCGGAUGACAUCAUAGCCUCAUGGAGCUGAUAGUCUGGGGGCAGGCGAGUCAGACAAGAAGCAAGUGGUCAACCCUGGAAGGCACCCUGGAGGAAGCAGCCUUCCCACUGAGUCCUGAGGCAGGAGUGGACUGUGGCAAGGGGUUGAUAAAAUACCUGGAGCCAGGACAUUUGUAUAGAAUUGGAAGUUGAUUUUCCUCAUAUCUCUGUAGGCCUGGAAGUGCCAGAGCACAGCUUCCGGAUGGAGCCCAGGGCUGCAAGUUGCUGGGCCAGUGCUCUACCAACUGAGGGGAUCGAACUCGGGUCCUUGCGCUUGUGCAGCAGGCAACAAAACCACUGAGCUAAAUCCCCGUCCUUCAUCUCCCCUUCUAACGGAGAAUGGAAGCAGGUUUAGAGACCUCAGAAGGCAAGAGUCUGACUGCAAUUUUUCCCCCAAAUUUUACUAUGGAAAAUUUUAAAUGUUUAGAAAAAUGGAAAGAAUUGUACAGAGAAUAUUUAUAUCCCUCCCGCCAUCCAGGGUUUAACAUUAAAUUUUUGCUUGCUCAUGUAACUAUCUGUCUUUAUUUUGGGGGGGACAAGUUCUCGCUGUGUAAUUCAGGCUGGCCUUUAACUCACUAUGUAGCCCGAGCUGGCUGCCUCAAACUCAUGGCAUCCUCCUGCCUCAGCCUCCCCAGUGCUAGGAUUACAGGUGUGCACCACCACGCCAGGCUCAUACACUUAUCUCCUAUGUGAAUUUAUGACCCACCCCCUUUUAUUUAGUGCUGGGGAAGGAACUCCAGGCCCUUACUACUUUAACCACAUGUUCUAUCAUUAAACCCCCAUCAUCUUUUUAAAAUUAUUAUUCAUUUCAAAGAAAAUUGAAGACUUGAAUCCACUUCUAAAACUUCGGGAUACACCCGGAUGUGGUGGCACAUGCCUGUGAUCCCAGCACACAACAGGCUGAGACAGGAAGAUCACAAGUCCCAGGCCAACCUGGGCUACAUAAUGAAAUCUUAUCUCAUAAACAAAUAAAUGUAUAAAACUGAAGUAUGCAUGUUAUUAGAGCUCAGUAUUUGUUUAUGGCUCUUUUGUAGUUUAAGGUAAAAUGUACAUACAAUGAGCUGUGCAGGUUUUAAGUAUUCAUUUGCUGAGACAAAGGCUUACUUUGGAGUAACCCACUUACUCCUGGUUGUCUUGUCAUCUCCUCUUCCUCCUCCUCCUCUUCUUCCUCCUUCUCCUUCUGUUUUGGGGAACCCAGGGCCUCAUAUGUGGUAAACAAGCACUCACUGUACCACUAAGCUACGCCCCCAGACCAGAAGCUAGAAUUUUUUUUUUUUUUUUUUGACACAGGGUCUUCCUGUGUUGUCCAGGCUGGCCUUGAACUCACUAUGUACCCCAGCCUGGACUAGAAUUUCCAGCAAUCUUUCUGCCUCAGCCUCCCAAGUGCUGGGAUCACAGGUGUGUGCCACCGCCUGGCUGACAAACUAGAAUUCUGAAGCACAGUCCCUGUUUUAUGGUUGACUGAUAGUACUUUUUCAGAUUUGGUAGAGACAUGCUUACAUUUUAAAAAUCUAGGCCAGUCAUUCCUGGGAGUGAGCUACUUCAUAUAUACCCAACUUUUUUUGGUAUCGGGGAUUGAACUCAGGACCUUGCACUUUCGAGGCAGGCGCCAGAACCACCGAGUUAAAUCCCUGGUCCAACCAGCUUAAUUAUUAACAGCAACCCAUUUACUCUCAAAGGUGUCCUAGUUUGGGCCAUCAGACAAGGGUCACCCUAUCUCUGAGGGAGGGGCUGUGAUGGGCAGCUCAGGAGGACAGAGGUCUUUCUGUUCCCUGGAGUAUCCCAGGCAUAGGGCUUGGUGUGUAAUAAUUGCUCAAUAAAUAUUAGUUGAGUUUGUAUUACCAAAAACAAAGGUCAGUUUAAAGGAAAACUGUAAACUGGGUGUGUUAGUGCAUGCUGUGAUUGCAGAACUUGGGAGGCUGAGGCAGGAGGAUCACCUUGAGUUUGAGGCCAGCCUGGGCUACACAAGGAGUUCCAGGCCAGCCUGGACUAUGUAGUGAGACUUUGUCUCAAAAAAACAAAAAAAAGCAAAAGGAAAUUUGUAGAUUCCAACAUAGAUAAUCUAUAGAAUCCUGUUUUAGUAUUUGUAUCACACCUUUGGUAUCCAAUAUGGCAGCCAUGGCUACCAGGAAGAAUAAAAUUAAAUGUACCACAUGUACUGUAUUUUUUGUCUGAUGGCAAGAAAUUAAAAGGUUAAAUAUGACUCAUAUGCUUAAAUAAAUAUGAUCGAGAAAAGGUUUGCAUUUUUUUCUAUCACUUGCAUCUAUAGCAAAGGAACUGCAUGAGAUCUUUGUUUCAUGAUUUUGAUAAUAAAAAGGGGCCACAUCAUGAAAUAAUAAACUAGGGGAGCCACGUGUGGUGUUCCGCUCCUAUAAUCCCAGCACUCUAGAGGCUGAGGCAGGAGGAUCACUGUGAAUUGGAGGCCAGCCUGGGCUACAUAGUGAGUUCAAGGCUAGCCUGGACUGCAUAGAGAGACCCUGUCUCAAACAAACAAAGAAACUACCUAAGGGAACCAGAUUUGGUUGUGAGAGGUGGGAGGGCUAACAGUUCUAUCCUUGAGGGACCCAGGGCACAUUCACACUUGGGAACAUGUUUACAUGGACUUAAAACAGCCUGGUUUUCAAAAACAAACUAAAGGACAACGAAGAACAAAAUGUUCCGAGGUUGCUUUUAUUCCAAGAACUCCGUGAGCUCUGCCUGGCCACCACCGCUGGCAUCG
Molecule: long non-coding RNA, 2979 nt
Organism: Heterocephalus glaber (naked mole-rat)
Lineage: Eukaryota; Metazoa; Chordata; Mammalia; Rodentia; Bathyergidae
Source: RefSeq, a predicted model, not a curated record